RNAcentral lists this ribosomal RNA (614 nucleotides) under uncultured bacterium. RNAcentral describes it as "bacterial SSU rRNA". The stretch from base 1 to 521 matches the Rfam family "Bacterial small subunit ribosomal RNA", at positions 338 to 873 of the family's 1533-position model. The record is from RNAcentral.
CCUACGGGAGGCAGCAGUGGGGAAUAUUGCACAAUGGGCGCAAGCCUGAUGCAGCAACGCCGCGUGAGGGACGACGGCCUUCGGGUUGUAAACCUCUUUUAGUAGGGAAGAAGCGAAAGUGACGGUACCUGCAGAAAAAGCACCGGCUAACUACGUGCCAGCAGCCGCGGUAAUACGUAGGGUGCAAGCGUUAUCCGGAAUUAUUGGGCGUAAAGAGCUCGUAGGCGGUUUGUCGCGUCUGCUGUGAAAACUGGAGGCUCAACCUCCAGCCUGCAGUGGGUACGGGCAAACUAGAGUGCGGUAGGGGAGAUUGGAAUUCCUGGUGUAGCGGUGGAAUGCGCAGAUAUCAGGAGGAACACCGAUGGCGAAGGCAGAUCUCUGGGCCGUAACUGACGCUGAGGAGCGAAAGCAUGGGGAGCGAACAGGAUUAGAUACCCUGGUAGUCCAUGCCGUAAACGUUGGGCGCUAGAUGUGGGGACCAUUCCACGGUUUCCGUGUCGCNGCUACGCAUAGCGCCCGCCGUCGGGAGGUACGGCCGGCGACGGACGUAAACGUUAAAACGGUAAAGUUAGACGGCGUGAGACGUGCCGACGGACGACGACGAGGGAGGUAGG